UACGAAGGGGGCUAGCGUUGCUCGGAAUCACUGGGCGUAAAGGGUGCGUAGGCGGGCCUUUAAGUCAGGGGUGAAAUCCUGGAGCUCAACUCCAGAACUGCCUUUGAUACUGAGGAUCUUGAGUUCGGGAGAGGUGAGUGGAACUGCGAGUGUAGAGGUGAAAUUCGUAGAUAUUCGGAAGAACACCAGUGGCGAAGGCGACUUACUGGACACAUAUUGACGCUGAGGUGCGAAAGCGUGGGGAGCAAACAGG
This 253-nucleotide ribosomal RNA is filed under the name uncultured bacterium. RNAcentral's name for it is "partial 16S ribosomal RNA". It matches the Rfam family "Bacterial small subunit ribosomal RNA", at positions 524 to 776 of the family's 1533-position model. The record is from RNAcentral.